RNAcentral lists this unclassified non-coding RNA (407 nucleotides) under fungal sp. RNAcentral describes it as "partial internal transcribed spacer region". The stretch from base 1 to 46 matches the Rfam family "Eukaryotic small subunit ribosomal RNA", at positions 1786 to 1831 of the family's 1831-position model. The record is from RNAcentral. Lineage: Eukaryota; Fungi.
AAGUCGUAACAAGGUUUCCGUAGGUGAACCUGCGGAAGGAUCAUUAUUUAAUGUUGUGAUUGUGGGAUUUUGGUGGUGGCCGUUUGGUUGGUUACCCUUGACGGGGUAGUCUGUCAUCCUACACGACCGAUUCUCCUUUCACAUUACCCUUGUGUGAAUUGUAAACCUAAAUGCUUUGACGAGGGGCGACUGUGGUGUGUUUCUGUCGUCUCUGUACACAGCAUACACCACGGCACCACCGGUGAAUAGUGUUGCCUCACAGCAACCCUAGCCACCAAACCUCGUCAAAGACUACACCCACAAAAAUACCUUUGUCUAAACUAAAUCAUCGUGGACCUCUUGCAACAAAGAACCACACCAUUGGAAUAAUAAAAAACAACUUUUAACAACGGAUCUCUUGGCUCUCC